RNAcentral lists this ribosomal RNA (253 nucleotides) under bacterium. Its description in RNAcentral is "partial 16S ribosomal RNA". It matches the Rfam family "Bacterial small subunit ribosomal RNA", at positions 524 to 776 of the family's 1533-position model. RNAcentral also lists the same sequence under 2 other names. The record is from RNAcentral.
UACGAAGGGGGCUAGCGUUGCUCGGAAUCACUGGGCGUAAAGCGCACGUAGGCGGCUUUCUAAGUCAGAGGUGAAAUCCUGGAGCUCAACUCCAGAACUGCCUUUGAUACUGGAAAGCUUGAGUUCGGGAGAGGUGAGUGGAACUGCGAGUGUAGAGGUGAAAUUCGUAGAUAUUCGCAAGAACACCAGUGGCGAAGGCGGCUCACUGGCCCGAUACUGACGCUGAGGUGCGAAAGCGUGGGGAGCAAACAGG